This 538-nucleotide transfer RNA is filed under the name uncultured cyanobacterium. Its description in RNAcentral is "partial miscellaneous RNA". The stretch from base 212 to 284 matches the Rfam family "tRNA". The record is from RNAcentral. Lineage: Bacteria; Bacillati; Cyanobacteriota.
CAGGGAGACAACAAAAUGUUUAAUAUUAUUAUUUUGUCACCUUAGGUCGAUCGGUAUCUCACGUUUUUAAUUUAUUAAGAAUUUCAUUUCCUAAGUUUUUCUAGGUCACACCCAUUAUUUUUCCUGGGCCAUUAGCUCAGGUGGUUAGAGCGCACCCCUGAUAAGGGUGAGGUCCCUGGUUCAAGUCCAGGAUGGCCCAUAUCUCUAUUUUGGGGGUAUAGCUCAGUUGGUAGAGCGCCUGCUUUGCAAGCAGGAUGUCAGCGGUUCGAGUCCGCUUACCUCCACUGAUUACCACCUCCAUAAUCUUUAGAUAGGAAAUGUUUUGAGUUGUGAUCAAAUUCUGAACGAAUCUAGCUUCCUAAUGUAAUCAUUAAGAUGCUGGACUCAUUGAAUUAAUUUUCAUUGUUUUCAGAGAACCUUGACAACUGCAUAGAUUAUUUUUAAAGACAAUAAGCAUCUUUAAUGGUGCAGAUUUAUUAUUUGUGCGAAUGCAUUAAUAACAAUUCUAUUAAGCUGAUGCUUCAAUUUUGAAGUUAUU